UGGGCCCUCUAGAUGCAUGCUCGAGCGGCCGCCAGUGUGAUGGAUAUCUGCAGAAUUCGCCCUUGGAUUAGGCAUGCAAGUCGAACGAGGAUAUAUCCUUCGGGAUAUAAGCCGAGUGGCGCAAGGGUGAGUAAUGCAUAGAUUACCUGCCUCUAGGAUAAGGACAACUUUGUGAAAACGAAGCUAAUACUUAAUAAUACAAAAGAGAAUAAUUCUCUUUUGUCAAUGGGAGGGUAGCAAUACCUUUUGCCUAGAGAGGGGUUUAUGUCCUAUCAGCUUGUUGGUGGGGUAAUGGCCUACCAAGGCGAAGACGGGUAGCCGGUCUUAGAGGAUGGUCGGCCACACUGGGACUGAGACACUGCCCAGACUUCUACGGAAGGCUGCAGUCGAGAAUCUUUCGCAAUGCCCGAAAGGGUGACGAAGCGACGCCGCGUGAGUGAGGAAGGCCUUCGGGUUGUAAAGCUCUGUCAGGAGUUAAGAAAUAUAAGUGUGCUAAUACCACAUUUAUUUGACGAAGGCUCCAAAGGAAGCCACGGCUAACUCUGUGCCAGCAGCCGCGGUAAUACAGAGGUGGCAAGCGUUGUUCGGAAUUAUUGGGCGUAAAGAGCACGUAGGUGGGUUUGUAAGUCAGAUGUGAAAGCCUUCUGUUCAACGGAAGAAUUGCAUCUGAAACUACAAGUCUUGAGUGUAGGAGGGGAGAAUGGAACUUCUGGUGGAGCGGUGAAAUGCGUAGAUAUCAGAAGGAACGCCGGGCGGCGAAAGCGAUUCUCUGGCCUAUUACUGACACUCAGUGUGCGAAAGCUAGGGAGCAAACGGAUUAGAUACCCCGG
This 830-nucleotide ribosomal RNA is filed under the name uncultured Candidatus Scalindua sp. Its description in RNAcentral is "partial 16S ribosomal RNA". It matches the Rfam family "Bacterial small subunit ribosomal RNA", at positions 1 to 790 of the family's 1533-position model. The record is from RNAcentral. Lineage: Bacteria; Pseudomonadati; Planctomycetota; Candidatus Brocadiia; Candidatus Brocadiales; Candidatus Scalinduaceae.